CUCAAUGAGAUUCAAUAGCCGCAAUAUUUUGUGCUAAGGUAGCAUAAUCAUUUGUUUUUUAAUUAAAAACUAGAACGAAAGAUUUAACAUUUUUAUUUCUUUCUUAUAUACAACUAUUAAAUUUAUUUUAAAUAUUAAAAAAUAUUUAUUUAUUAAGUAGACAAUAAGACCCUAUCGAACUUAACUAAAGUUAAACUGGGGCAGUGAAUUAAAAACAAUUUUAAUUUAAAUUAAAAAAAUAACCUAAUAAAAUUAAAAUAUCAAGUUACCAUAGGGAUAACAGCGUAAUAAUUUUCCUAAGUUCUUAUUUAAAAAAUUGUUUGCGACCUCGAUGUUGAAUUAAUAAUCUAUUAAAUGCAAUAACUUAAUAAGAAAGUCUGUUCGACUU
Molecule: ribosomal RNA, 388 nt
Filed under: Draconarius paraspiralis
Lineage: Eukaryota; Metazoa; Arthropoda; Arachnida; Araneae; Agelenidae
Description: partial 16S ribosomal RNA
Source: RNAcentral